RNAcentral lists this ribosomal RNA (479 nucleotides) under uncultured bacterium. Its description in RNAcentral is "bacterial LSU rRNA". It matches the Rfam family "Bacterial large subunit ribosomal RNA", at positions 22 to 452 of the family's 2925-position model. The record is from RNAcentral.
CCAACGGUGGAUGCCUUGGCGACCAAGAACGAUGAAGGACGUGAGUGACUGCGAAAAGCUGCGGGAAGCCGUCGACUAGGCGUUGAUCCGCAGAUGUCCGAAUGGGGAAACCCGGCACUCGUCAUGGAGUGUCACCCCGGUGUGAACACAUAGCACCGGAGGAGGGAACCAGGGGAAUUGAAACAUCUCAGUACCCUGAGGAAAGGAAAGCAACCGCGACUCCCUCAGUAGCGGCGAGCGAAGAGGGAAAAGACCAAACCGUGUCAGUGUCAAGCCAGGUGGCGUUGCUGACGCGGGGUAGCGGGACCAAGAGAUCCAGCACCUGAUGGAUCACGGAGUUACCAAGUUGCUGUGUAGUGGAACGGCUCUGGAAAGGCCGGCCGCAGUGGGUAAUAGCCCCGUACACGAAACACACGCAACCUCCGCUUGUCAUCCCAAGUAACGCCGGGACCGAGCAAACUGGCGUGAAUCUGUGGGGG